GGACCUUUAACUCAGCAGGUUAGAGUACCCGGCUCAUAACCGGGCAGUCCUGGGUUCGAAUCCCAGAAGGUCCA
Molecule: transfer RNA, 74 nt
Filed under: Lachnospiraceae bacterium CAG:364
Lineage: Bacteria; Bacillati; Bacillota; Clostridia; Lachnospirales; Lachnospiraceae
Rfam family: tRNA
About the family: Transfer RNA (tRNA) molecules are approximately 80 nucleotides in length. Their secondary structure includes four short double-helical elements and three loops (D, anti-codon, and T loops).
Source: Rfam by way of RNAcentral